CUUCAUGUUAAUGUCUAUUAUUUACUCAUGUCGUAUGUCUAGUCUAAAUACAUAGAAAAAACUAAAUAUAUUUUUGUCAGUAAUUAACUUUAACCUGCUUUAGUGGACAUCUCCUAUUUGACCCCCUGACUUGAUAACGCUAUAUUUACACUUUGUAUUAUUGAUGAUGCUGCAGCUAGAGCAUCUAAAGCUACAGGUCCUGGUUGUGCGACCUCUGCUGCACCUCCUCCCAUCGCUGCAGCACCUCCUCCCACCACUCCUGCGCCAAUGGCUAUCUUGUCUAAAUCAACAGCCAAAUUCUUUCCCGUUUCCAUCCACUCCUCCAAUUUAAUCUUUCUGAAGCCACCGCCCCCCCCCCCGCAUCAUUACCAGGCACACCUGUUUCUUGUUAUGUUAUUAGGGUAGGGGUAUAUCUGUCUGUCAGGUUGGGGUUUUGUGGGUUAUUGUUUGUCGUCAAUGUUCCGUGUAUGUUCAGGACUACGUUGUGCCAGUACAGUACAGUACAUUGCCUUGCCAACUAGUCCGGCAUUAUGGGCCUUCUUGGUUCUAGCAGGGAUCUCUGUUUGCUCGGCUAUUUUGUGUUUUUGCCUGCUUGGCCAUUCUGAGCUUGCUAGAACUACAUAAUAAAAAGAAAGCAGGCUACCCUCCUGCGUUUGACCUCUGUCUUUCUACGACGGACCGUGACAUUAUCAGAUAUUAAAUAGUUUUAAUGUGUUUCCUGGCUGCAGACUAAGCAUGGAGAAUUUGUGUAAGUAUGUAAAAGGUCCCCCCCACAAACAUUUUUGCCAGAUACCAGAAUUAUCUUGAAGCCUUUUACACCCCAACUAAGAUUUUAGGAAAACCUUUUUCAGAGUAGGGUUAGGGUCAGGGGUUCCAAAGUAGAACUCGCCAGUCGCCCAAUGUGGGGAUAUGUUGUUAAUAAUUUUGAUAAUAAGGAAAUUUCGACACAAUAAAGGUGUUCCAAGAACAUGGCUGGACUUUAAGGAGGGGGUGAUGGUUUGCAGUGUGUGUCGUGUCAACAAAAAGGAAAAGCGCAGAGGCAGUUCCUUUAUUGUUGGCACUACAGCCAUGAAACUGGGGAAUAUACCAUUUCACGAGAGCUCACAAUGUCACCGUGGUUACACGUCAGUCACCAGGGCACAGUCUCUGCCCCUCCAGGCUACCCCAUCAGUAAAGCCCCUCACAAAACUUUCUGAUGCUACCGCUAAGAAGAUGACCAUCAUUUUCUAAACCGCACACGCCAUUUCAUGUCUUGAGAAUCAUGACAAAGGGUCAAAUCUACUACUGAGUUUAAGACUUUUAAGUUAGGAUAGACAAACCAUGUAAAAA
Esox lucius (northern pike) is the source of this 1329-nucleotide long non-coding RNA. Lineage: Eukaryota; Metazoa; Chordata; Actinopteri; Esociformes; Esocidae. The record is from Ensembl.